CCCAUAUCACCCUAGAGGAGCCUGUCCUAUAAUCGAUGACCCACGCUGCACCCAACCUGCCCUUGCAAACUCAGCCUAUAUACCGCCGCCUCCAGUCUGCCCAAUGAUGGAACAAUAGCAGACAAAAUUGCCCCCACAAAGACGUCAGGUCAAGGUGUAGCUAAUGAGCAGGGAGAGAUGGGCUACAUUUUCUCUAACAGAAAAUACCACUAGCGCCAUGAAAUCUUCGCCAUCAAGGCGGAUUUAGCAGUAAGCCCAGACAGAGCUCCUGGACUGAAACACGCUCUGGGAUG
RNAcentral lists this ribosomal RNA (293 nucleotides) under Trigonodactylus arabicus. Its description in RNAcentral is "partial 12S ribosomal RNA". The record is from RNAcentral. Lineage: Eukaryota; Metazoa; Chordata; Lepidosauria; Squamata; Gekkonidae.